Molecule: long non-coding RNA, 2047 nt
Filed under: Hordeum vulgare
Lineage: Eukaryota; Viridiplantae; Streptophyta; Magnoliopsida; Poales; Poaceae
Description: long non-coding RNA (HVUL_LNC018007)
Source: RNAcentral
GCUCCGGACGCCAUUGCCUCCGUCAGUCCUGCUCAAAGUCGAGCUAGCGGUGACUCCCCUGACCCUCUUUUCCCCUCUAGAAGAACCACCAGAGCCCCUCGAGCCCUCCCCUAUCCUCGUUCCAUCCCUGGGUCAUUCGUGGCCUCGCCUUCGAAUCUGGCCGGAGCCCUCACCCGCGGGAGCCUACGUCGUCGCCGCUCGGAUCCUCGUCGCCGCCCAUGCUCUAGUAGGACGGAGGCGGCGUCCUCUCCUGAGCACGCCGGUGGCCGAGGCGCUUCGGGGGAUGGCCGGAGCCGUCGGGGGCCAGCGCCGGUGCCGCGCAGCCUCUCCUCUGCCUUCUCUGCCGCGGGAGGAAGAAGAAAGAGGAGGAGAGAGAGCGACUCGACAGGUGGGCCCUAACCCCACCUGUCGGUGAGAGGAGGUCUGAUACCGCUGGAUAAGUGGAUGCGUAACGCUAGUAAUGCGCUUUCCUUUUUGGAAAGCGUAUUUCCAGAGAAGGCGCCAUCAGUUUUUCCAGCUAGGACUUGAUAGUAAAUAUUUUAAUUGCAGAUCGGUCCUUCUACUUCAAACACCCAUAGCUUUUCAUCCAUAGCUCCGAUUAAGGUGAUUCCAACGCCCACGUCUUCGUCUCGUCGAGCCCUUCAUGUUGGUAUCAUUUUCAUUAUGUGUUCACAUUCUCAAAAUGACCAUGUUGCCCUUGCCCUUCUAUCAACCUUCUUCGAGAGAGAAUAGUUCCUGGCGAUCCUUUCUGCGGACUCUCCGCACUUCUUCCGGGAGUAUUCUUCUACCCCAUGCAAGCCAACCAUCUGAUAUAUGCCCUAAAGCAUUGCUCUGUGUUUUUCUUGUGUGUUUAAUUAAUGAUAUGCUUGUGGUAGAAAUAAUUAAACUCCCGCCAUUUCGAUAUUGUCAUUUACAUUACCUGCUACUGCUCAUCUUAUCAUUGCAUUCAUGACUUGUCGUGAUGGAUGGUUAUGUUUUUAUCAUGCUUAGCUACUACCAUCUCAAGUUAUUAUGAUAAACAACCAUGCUUGUUAAACACUUGCUAUGGCUAAACCUAGUCGGUUGAUCUAGAGUCACCUAUCGGGGCUUAUCCGUGCAACCACAUUUGCCGGUAUGGGACGAACUUGACUUGGUCUGAUCGUGUGCUCUUCCACCGGUACCACCAGACAGGGAAGGUUAUGCGCGCGCGCUACCUUGACCCGGUAGGCGGCGAUAACCUUGUGAGCCAGUUGAUUGUUUUGUGCCAGCGUCCCCGUUUGGGACAAUUUUGUUUGGCCACGACGGUGAAAGGUGUCAUGAGGACACAGGGGCCACCCAAGGCAGGACUCCGGGUGAGGAUGAAUGCCGGUGGUACGAUGGAAGAGGUACGGGUCAGGCAGGUUUCGUUGGAGCAACACAGGUCCAUCCGAAUGGGAUAACGAGGUCAGUGCUCCAUCGUGUGGGUAAAGUGUGCAACCUCUGCGGAGUGUAAAAUUUAUUAGAAUAGCCGUGUCCAGGGUAUUGGACAUCCCGUCUAGACCUCACUAGGUUGUCAACUGUAAAGGUGAUAAUAAUGAUGGAAGAACUCGUCUUGUGCAGACAUCCGAUGAUGUCAGGAAUAUGAUAUGUUAGCCAUGGGAUGGCUAUGAGAUGGGUGGACGGAUGACCACAUGAGUUGGAUUAGAUUUGGAUCAGAUUGAGAUUGGAUCGUCAUGACAUUCAGAGUAUAAAUCAUUUACUUAAUAUGCUUUACCUUAUCGUAUUUACUUUAGUAGUUAUCUUGCUAGAUAGUCCUAUUAUAUCAUGAUAUUUAAUCCUGCUAGAUAGGUAAGCUAUGCCAUGAUAAUUAACAUUGCUCUAAUAACAAGUGCAUGCUUGAAUGCCAUAGAUUGCAUUGCUUAGUGUAUAUGUUAGUUCGGUUUGCUUGCGAGUACAUUCAAAAGUACUUAGCGGCUUUUAACAUGGCCAGGUUCACGUAAGGAUCCAUCGUCCGCCAUCGAGGAACCGGAGCCUUCACGGGCUAGGAGAGUAACUAUUGGGGAUAUUAUCUGUUGGGUAACCCGCCCUA